UGGACUAGAUGGGAUCUA
RNAcentral lists this small nuclear RNA (18 nucleotides) under Arabidopsis thaliana (thale cress). RNAcentral's name for it is "snRNA_16910". Lineage: Eukaryota; Viridiplantae; Streptophyta; Magnoliopsida; Brassicales; Brassicaceae. The record is from RNAcentral.